This 406-nucleotide ribosomal RNA is filed under the name uncultured bacterium. RNAcentral describes it as "partial 16S ribosomal RNA". It matches the Rfam family "Bacterial small subunit ribosomal RNA", at positions 30 to 526 of the family's 1533-position model. The record is from RNAcentral.
AUUGAACGCUGGCGGCAGGCUUAACACAUGCAAGUCGAGUGAGCGGCGGACGGGUGAGUAAUGUCUGGGAAACUGCCUGAUGGGGGGGGAUAACUACUGGAAACGGUAGCUAAUACCGCAUACCAUCAGAUGUGCCCAGAUGGGAUUAGCUAGUGGGUGGGGUAAUGUCUCACCCAGGCGACGAUCCCUAGCUGGUCUGAGAGGAUGACAAGCAACACUGGAACUGGGACACGGUCCAGACUCCGACGGGGGGCAGCAGUGGGGAAAAUUGCACAAUGGGCGCAAGCCUGAUGCAGCCAUGCCGCGUGUAUGAAGAAGGCCUUGGGGUUGUAAAGUACUUUCGGCGGGGAAGCGUUACCCGCAGAAGAAGCACCGGCUAACUCCGUGCCAGCAGCCGCGGUAAUAC